CAUUCCUGCACCCGUAAUGAACAGAACUGUAGUGACACGGAAGGUAAGACAGAGCCGGGAAUGAGAAAACCGGUGCAAGCACAAUAGAUGUGUGGGAGGAAAAUCCCCCGCAUAAGUCAAAGGUGUGAUGCGGACCGAAAAAGAGUAGGGAAGCUGUUAAGCAAGCCGUCAAGAAAAGCUGCUAUUGUUUCAUUAUGGCCCGUACCGUAAACCGACACAGGUGGAUGGGGAGAGAAUCCUAAGGCCGGCGGAAGAAGUAUUGUUAAGGAACACGGCAAAAUGACCCCGUAACUUCGGGAGAAGGGGUGCCUGCGAGAGCAGGCCGCAGAGAAGAGGCCCAAGCAACUGUUUAGCAAAAACACAGGUCUAUGCAAAACCGAAAGGUGAGGUAUAUGGGCUGACGCCUGCCCGGUGCUGGAAGGUUAAGGGGAGUGGUCAGGAAACGAAGCCACGAACUUAAGCCCCAGUAAACGGCGGCCGUAACAAUAACGGUCCUAAGGUAGCGAAAUUCCUUGUCGGGUAAGUUCCGACCCGCACGAAAGGCGUAAUGAUUUGGGCGCUGUCUCGACAAUACAUCCGGUGAAAUUGAAGUGCCAGUGAAGAUGCUGGCUACCUGCGCCAGGACGGAAAGACCCCAUGGAGCUUUACUCCAGCUUGAUACUGGGACCCGGUAUUGCAUGUACAGGAUAGGUGGGAGGCUAGGAAAUGUGGACGCCAGUCUGCAUGGAGCCGCUGUUGGGAUACCACCCUUGUGGUGCUGGGUUUCUAACCAGAGGCCGUGAACCGGUCUGGGGACAAUGUCAGGUGGGGAGUUUGACUGGGGCGGUCGCCUCCGAAAGGGUAUCGGAGGCGCCCAAAGGUUCCCUCAGAAUGGUUGGAAACCAUUCGAAGAGUGCAAAGGCAGAAGGGAGCUUGACUGCGACACCGACGGGUGGAGCAGGUACGAAAGUAGGGCUUAGUGAUCCGGUGGAAUUUAAGUGGGAAUGCCAUCGCUCAACGUAAAAGCUACCCUGGAUAACAGGCUGAUCACUCCCAAGAGUUCACAUCGACGGAGUGGUUUGGCACCUCGAUGUCGGCUCAUCGCAUCCUGGGGCUGAAGUCGGUCCCAAGGGUUGGGCUGUUCGCCCAUUAAAGCGGUACGCGAGCUGGGUUCAGAACGUCGUGAGACAGUUCGGUCCCUAUCCGGCGUGGGCGUAGGAUAUCUGAGAGGAGCUGUCCUUAGUACGAGAGGACCGGGAUGGACUGACCUCUGGUGUACCGGUUGGCGAUCAACGCCACGGCCGGGUAGCCAUGUCGGGACGGGAUAAACGCUGAAGGCAUCUAAGCGUGAAGCCCCCCUCAAGAUGAGAUAUCCCAUCGUAAGAGUAAGACCCCUUGAAGACGACGAGGUUGAUAGGGCAGGGGUGGAAGUGCUGUAAGGCAUGGAGCUGACUGCUACUAAUCGGUCGAGGGCUUGACC
RNAcentral lists this ribosomal RNA (1459 nucleotides) under metagenome. RNAcentral's name for it is "bacterial LSU rRNA". It matches the Rfam family "Bacterial large subunit ribosomal RNA", at positions 1434 to 2925 of the family's 2925-position model. The record is from RNAcentral.